CAGAUCAGUUCCAGUCUCUUCCACAAGACAUUCCCUGAUCUCUCCCCUCAAUUCCUGGACUACUUUUUUGUAUUACCCAUUUGCCACUUAGAUGACACUGCCUUAUACAAUCCUGACUCCGUUGAUUUGCCACUUGAAGGAUUCUCUAUCUGUCAGUCUAGAAGCUCCUUUCCCUGAAGAAAAAGAAAAAGAAAACCAAAACCAUUGUCAGAGAUAUCCAGAAUAAAAGCAAUACAAAACCCCACAUUUAACUACAGACUUUUCAAAAAGCCAAGGCAACAUUUCCAUGAACUAAAGGAAAGCUGGAUUCAAGACAAUAGAUGGAAUCAUGAAGAAGUCUUAAUUUCAGGAAGAUAACUCGGAUGUCUAAUUGGGACAAAGCCAAGUACUAUAGCUACCUGAUUGAGGUCUACAAUUACUUGCCUACAUAGUUUGUAUUUGUCACUAUUUGUAAUAAAGUAGUUGCUGUUACACCAAAAACCAUUAAAAAAAUCUCGACUCCAUCAA
Long non-coding RNA from Dromiciops gliroides (monito del monte), 507 nucleotides. RefSeq lists it as uncharacterized. The record is from RefSeq and is a predicted model, not a curated record. NCBI's taxonomy places the organism in Eukaryota, Metazoa, Chordata, Mammalia, Microbiotheria, Microbiotheriidae. The transcript has 2 exons.